UCCCGCUUAUAUACCACCGUCGCCAGCUUACCCUGUGAAGGCCUAAUAGUAAGCAAAAUCGGCACAACCCAAAACGUCAGGUCGAGGUGUAGCGUAUGGAGGGGGAAGAGAUGGGCUACAUUCACUAAUGCAGUGAACACGAAUGAUCACUCUGAAAUGAGUAUCUGAAGGAGGAUUUAGCAGUAAGCAAAAAACAGAGUGUUUUGCUGAAGUUGGCUCUAAAGCGUGCACACACCGCCCGUCACUCUCCCCGAGCUAUCGCGAUAAAAAUAACUAAAACCCUAAAACUGUAAAGGGGAGGCAAGUCGUAACAUGGUAAGUGUACCGGAAGGUGCACUUGGAAAAACC
RNAcentral lists this ribosomal RNA (348 nucleotides) under Chelmon rostratus (copperband butterflyfish). Its description in RNAcentral is "partial 12S ribosomal RNA". It matches the Rfam family "Bacterial small subunit ribosomal RNA", at positions 1033 to 1528 of the family's 1533-position model. The record is from RNAcentral. Lineage: Eukaryota; Metazoa; Chordata; Actinopteri; Chaetodontiformes; Chaetodontidae.